This 494-nucleotide ribosomal RNA is filed under the name uncultured bacterium. RNAcentral's name for it is "partial 16S ribosomal RNA". It matches the Rfam family "Bacterial small subunit ribosomal RNA", at positions 28 to 507 of the family's 1533-position model. The record is from RNAcentral.
GACGAACGCUGGCGGCGUGCUUAACACAUGCAAGUCGAACGGUGAAGCGCCUUCCUUUUUGGUGGGUGUGGAUGAGUGGCGAACGGGUGAGUAACACGUGAGUAACCUGCCCCCUUCUUCUGGAUAACCGCAUGAAAGUGUGGCUAAUACGGGAUAUUCUGGGUCUGUCGCAUGAUGGGUCUGGGAAAGAUAUUGUUUCGGUGGGGGAUGGGCUCGCGGCCUAUCAGCUUGUUGGUGGGGUGAUGGCCUACCCAGGCGGUGACGGGUAGCCGGCCUGGGAGGGUGGACGGUCACACUGGGACUGAGACACGGCCCAGACGCCUACGGGAGGCAGCAGUGGGGAAUAUUGCACAAUGGGGGCAAGCCUGAUGCAGCGACGCCGCGUGAGGGAUGGAGGCCUUCGGGGUGUGAACCUCUUUCGCCAGUGAAGCAGGCCUGCCUCGUUUGUGGGUGGGUUGACGGUAGCUGGAUAAGAAGCGCCGGCUAACUACGUG